This 87-nucleotide transfer RNA is filed under the name Candidatus Harrisonbacteria bacterium RIFCSPHIGHO2_12_FULL_48_16. Its description in RNAcentral is "tRNA-Tyr". It matches the Rfam family "tRNA". Rfam says of the family: Transfer RNA (tRNA) molecules are approximately 80 nucleotides in length. Their secondary structure includes four short double-helical elements and three loops (D, anti-codon, and T loops). The record is from RNAcentral. Lineage: Bacteria; Candidatus Harrisoniibacteriota. RNAcentral also lists the same sequence under 1 other name.
GGGCAGGUAGCGAAGUGGUCAAACGCGACUGGCUGUAGACCAGUUGGCUUUAUGCCUUCGGGGGUUCGAAUCCCUCCCUGCCCACUA